RNAcentral lists this long non-coding RNA (3364 nucleotides) under Gossypium barbadense (sea-island cotton). RNAcentral describes it as "long non-coding RNA (GBAR_LNC018077)". The record is from RNAcentral. Lineage: Eukaryota; Viridiplantae; Streptophyta; Magnoliopsida; Malvales; Malvaceae.
UUACUUGUUAAACCGAGCCCAUCCAAAUUUAUUCCAUUUAAAAUCCAUCUAUCCUUUAGCCACCACGAGCUUAUUUCGACAUAUAUUUCCAUAAUUAACCAAAUUCCUCCAUUUACGAAACCGAACGAUACUUCCUCAACGACGAUCGGGCAAAUUAGAUCACUCGACAAUCAACGCCGGGCCGGAUCGUAUCAGGUAAAAGGGGAUUUAUGAAUACAUAAAUUUAGUCAUGUAAAUUAAACUAUGUAACAAAAUUUUCUUAAACUAUGUUGUUACAUAAAUUUGACAUCAACUAAAUAUCUAAAGAAAAUUAAAUUAUAAAAAAAUACUUUACAUGACUAGAUUAUUAUAUGAAAAAUAAUCUUUCAAGUAACAGGGUUUUUUUUUGUUUGAUUUUACUAAACUUGGCAGUAAAACUAGGCUACCUAUGUCUUUUCAAUUUUGAAGGAUCAAGUUAUAAUGUAGUUCGAUUUCUUCUUCUCCUUUUUUUGUGCCCUGUCAUUUGCUUAAAUCAUCAAAAGAAGGAUUUUCAACUUAACAAGCUUUUUUUUUUCUUUUUCUUUUGCACUAACUUUUGCUUAAGUCGUCUAAUGAAGGAUUUUUAGCUUAAUGAGCUUUUUUUUUCUCUAACUUUUGCUUGAGCCAUCCAAUGAAGUAUAUUCAGCUUAAUUAGCUCUUCUUCUUUUCUUUAUGCUCUAACUUUUUCUUGAGCUAUCCAAAGAAGGAUUUUUAGCUUAACAAAAUUUUGUUGCAAUUUAAGCUCAUGGUCAAGAGUGAAGGCAUUCAUGUAUAGUAGCGCUUUAGAAAUUUUUCGUUCAUUAGCCCAACUUUGAUGUCAUCUUGAUCAACAAUCUUAUAUGCACUAUUAUUUUAAACUUCGUGAAUGACAUAUAGUACACAAACUUGUUACCCAUGCGAUGUAAAGUUUUUAUGGGUUUUUUUCACAACAAGAACUAAGUCCUCAAUUGGAAAUGAUCGCAGAUUCACUUUGUUAUUAAAUGCAUCUUCACUUUGUUAUUAAAUUCCUUAAACAAAAGAGCUUGGUAGCAUUACAAACGUUUUUGUGCUUGUAAUCUAUCUCAUCCAUUGCCUCCAAUUCUUCCAAUUGUAGGCUCAUGUUGUCUUCACUGGAAAGUGAUUUUUGGAUUGCAAUUCUCAAAGAUGGGAUUUGUCGCUCAAGUGGCUUCAACACCAUAAACAAGUACAUAUAGAGUGGCUUGAGUUAGUGUGUGAUAUAUAGUUCGAUAUGCCUAAAAAGUUUCUUUCAUCCGUUCAUGCCAAUCUUUCUUAAGUUGAUUCACAAAUUUCUUGAGAAGAUUGCACAAAGUUUGUUUUUUUGGAAGCUUCUGCUAGACCAUUUAUCAGAGCAUGGUACAUCGAAGAGUGGUAUUGCUUGAAGUCAAAUUGUACACACAACUAGCUCAUGUUGAAUUACUUCUCAUUAUCAAUAAUGAUGCAUCAUGGAACACCAUACUGAUGAAUGAUGUUUAUUUUGAUAAAGUUUUCCACAAUUUCUUUCUUCACUUCUCAUUAAGGUGCUGCCUUUGCCCAUUUUGAAAAGUAAUCUAUUAGAGCCAAUAUAUGUGUAUUCUUGUUAGAGUAUCCUCAAAGAUCAAUCAUGAGAUGAUUGUAAUCACAUACUCGUUUUACAUUAUUUAUUAAUAUAAGGCAUUGUCAUUAUUAUUUUAGUUUCUUUGUCUGGGUAUAUAAAUAAAUUGAAUUGAAAUAAAGUCCUAAGAACAUAUGAUUAUUCUUAAAAGGUCAUUAGUCAAGUAUUAUUGUGGGCUUGGACAACAAUAAUGCAUUAAGACUAAUGUGUAGUUGAUUGAUGACAAAGAGUUGUCAUUGACAUAGGAAUAUCAAAAUCAGACAUGAGUAUAUGUUAGAGAACAACAUAUUGGAUUAAAAGACUAAUAUAAAUAUCAAUAUAAAAUUUUCAAAAAAAAAGUGUUGAAUAAGAUAAGUAGGUAGGUAACAACAUAGUUGAGAAUUGAAAUUUUUAGGUGUUAAAUUGAUAGAAAUUAAGCUUAGUUUAAGAAAAAGACUAAAUUGUAAAGCUUAAGUGAUAGCUUUGUACAUUAGGGACUAAAUUUAAAAAGUGUAAAACUUACAUGAAAUUUUAAUAGGAAUAAGAAAUAUGCAGUCCCUAAUGAGUAAUUGUAAAAAAAAAAUUUCAAUCCGAAGCUUUGGAUUAAAAGUUAUGUUUAUCCCGGGUUUAGGGACUAAAUUGAAUAAAUUAUAAAAUAUGUUUGAUUUUUUAUUGAUUUUGAUUUGAAUGGAAUUUGAUACUAUUACAUGUUUUAUGAUUUUAUUUAGCUAAUGUUGAUACGGAACCGUCGAAAGAGAAAAGAAAAUCGAAAGUCGAUGACGAAUAACUCAAAAUUUUAGUUUAUAUUUCUAUGAUAUGAGACCCAUUUAAUUACUGCAUAUUUAUGUUAUUUUACAUCAUAUAUUAUCGAGGUGAUUCGUUAUGGGAUUAUUAAAUUGAAUUGCUACGGUUUAGAUUGAAUAUCAAGAUAGGGACUAAAUUGAAUGGAAUUGAAAGUUAUGAAUUUAUUGAUAAAUGAUAAUUGAUAUGAAAUUGAGUUGAUAUAUGUUGUAUAUAUGAUGAGUUGGUGAAUUUAUGGAUUAUUAGGACAUGAUUAAAUAUGAUUUGAAUAAUGUUUAUUAUGAAUCAAAAAUUUGGUUACCCUAUUAGCUAUUCGGACUAUGUUGAAUAUAAUUGGCACGCCAUAAGGUAAGAUUAUUGAUUGAAAACCAUCAUUGCUAGGAAAUUUGGGAUGGUAGAUUGUAAUUUGUGAGUCAUCAUUGUCUGGCAACCCAGGUUGACAUAUUAAUUAGAUUGAGAAAGCGAUUGUUAUCAAGCAAUUCGAGGUGGUAUUAUGCACAUGUAUGGCGUCAUAUUAAGGGUCGAUCUUGUAAUAACGAGCUAAACGGCUCGAAAAAGAUUGAGAUGUGGUAUUAAUUUUAACAUAUUAUAUACAUGCUAAGAGUGAUAAAAUAAAUAAGUAUGAAUUGAACUAGAGAUGGUAAAUGGAAAGGAACUAAAUGAUAUUUGAAAUUAGUGGGUCGUUGGUAAGCUUAUGUGUAUAUAUAUGCUUAAAUGAAUUGGUUAUAGGCUUGGUUAUAUAUAUUUAUGGUGAUUUGGAAAUAAAAGUGUUAUGACACGGGAUUUGAUUUUGGAUUGAAUUUGAUAUGAAUGUAUGCAUAUGUUUAAUUUAUUUAUAUUGUCUUGAAUCAUAGAAAUACCACUGAGCAUAUUUGCUCAACGUAAGAUUUGUUUUCUCCACGUGUAGGUAUUGUAGAUUCUCGACAAUUUGAACGGUUGAUCCAGCAUCCAGCAAUCGAUCCCUAACUCAACAAA